CCUACGGGAGGCUGCAGUGAGGAAUGUUGGUCAAUGGACGAGAGUCUGAACCAGCCAAGUAGCGUGAAGGAUGACUGCCCGAUGGGUUGUAAACUUCUUUUAUAGGGGAAUAAAACAGGGUAUGCAUACCCUCUGGUAUGUACCAUAUGAAUAAGGAACGGCUAACUCCGUGCCAGCAGCCGCGGUAAUACGGAGGAUCCGAGCGUUAUCCGGAUUUAUUGGGUUUACAGGGAGCGUAGGUGGAUUGUUAAGUCAGUUGUGAAAGUUUGCGGCUCAACCGUAAAAUUGCAGUUGAAACUGGCAGUCUUGAGUACAGUAGAGGUGGGCGGACUUCGUGGUGUAGCGG
This 346-nucleotide ribosomal RNA is filed under the name uncultured bacterium. RNAcentral's name for it is "partial 16S ribosomal RNA". It matches the Rfam family "Bacterial small subunit ribosomal RNA", at positions 338 to 681 of the family's 1533-position model. The record is from RNAcentral.